UACGUAGGGUGCAAGCGUUAAUCGGAAUUACUGGGCGUAAAGCGUGCGCAGGCGGUUUUGUAAGUCUGACGUGAAAUCCCCGGGCUCAACCUGGGAAUUGCGUUGGAGACUGCAAGGCUAGAAUCUGGCAGAGGGGGGUAGAAUUCCACGUGUAGCAGUGAAAUGCGUAGAGAUGUGGAGGAACACCGAUGGCGAAGGCAGCCACCUGGGUCAAGAUUGACGCUCAUGCACGAAAGCGUGGGGAGCAAACAGG
RNAcentral lists this ribosomal RNA (253 nucleotides) under uncultured bacterium. RNAcentral describes it as "partial 16S ribosomal RNA". It matches the Rfam family "Bacterial small subunit ribosomal RNA", at positions 524 to 776 of the family's 1533-position model. The record is from RNAcentral.